This 256-nucleotide ribosomal RNA is filed under the name uncultured bacterium. RNAcentral describes it as "partial 16S ribosomal RNA". It matches the Rfam family "Bacterial small subunit ribosomal RNA", at positions 524 to 776 of the family's 1533-position model. The record is from RNAcentral.
UACGUAGGGUGCAGGCGUUAAUCGGAAUUACUGGGCGUAAAGCGUGCGCAGGCGGUUUGCUAAGACAGGUGUGAAAUCCCCCGGGCUUAACCUGGGAACUGCGCUUGUAACUGGCAAGCUAGAGUGUGGCAGAGGGGGGUGGAAUUCCACGUGUAGCAGUGAAAUGCGUAGAGAUGUGGAGGAACACCGAUGGCGAAGGCAGCCCCCUGGGCUAACACCUGGACGCUCAUGCACGAAAGCGUGGGGAGCAAACAGG